GCCUCUGUGGUCUAGUUGGUCAUGACGCCGGUCUCAUAUUCACUUUAUGACGAGUGGUUAACUGCUUGAUAUCCGGAGGUCGCCAGUUCGAUCCUGGCCGGGGGCA
Coccidioides immitis RMSCC 3703 is the source of this 106-nucleotide transfer RNA. It matches the Rfam family "tRNA". Rfam says of the family: Transfer RNA (tRNA) molecules are approximately 80 nucleotides in length. Their secondary structure includes four short double-helical elements and three loops (D, anti-codon, and T loops). The record is from Rfam. NCBI's taxonomy places the organism in Eukaryota, Fungi, Ascomycota, Eurotiomycetes, Onygenales, Onygenaceae.